Molecule: ribosomal RNA, 434 nt
Filed under: uncultured microorganism
Description: bacterial SSU rRNA
Rfam family: Bacterial small subunit ribosomal RNA
Source: RNAcentral
GGGCUGCAGUCGAGAAUCUUCCUCAAUGGCCGAAAGGCUGAAGGAGCGACGCCGCGUGCAUGAUGAAACCCUUCGGGGUGUAAAAUGCUUUUGUGGAGGAUGAACUAAUGACAGUACUCUACGAAUAAGGGGCUGCUAACCUCGUGCCAGCAGCAGCGGUAAUACGAGGGCCCCAAGCGUUAUCCGGAUUUAUUGGGCGUAAAGGGUCCGUAGGCGGCUCGACGCAUCUCUUGUUAAAUCCUUCGGCUCAACCGAAGGGCCGCAAGAGAGAUGGCCGAGCUAGAGACCGGAAUAGGCAAGCGGAAUUGCUGGUGUAGGGGUUAAAUCCGUUAAUAUCAGCAGGAACACCGAAUGCGAAAGCAGCUUGCUAGAACGGUUCUGACGCUCAGGGACGAAAGCGUGGGGAGCGAACGGGAUUAGAUACCCCGGUAGUC